This 475-nucleotide ribosomal RNA is filed under the name uncultured organism. RNAcentral describes it as "partial 16S ribosomal RNA". It matches the Rfam family "Bacterial small subunit ribosomal RNA", at positions 332 to 798 of the family's 1533-position model. The record is from RNAcentral.
UACACUCCUGCGGGAGGCAGCAGUGGGGAAUUUUGGACAAUGGGCGAAAGCCUGAUCCAGCAAUGCCGCGUGCAGGAUGAAGGCCUUCGGGUUGUAAACUGCUUUUGUACGGAACGAAAAAGCUCCUUCUAAUACAGGGGGCCCAUGACGGUACCGUAAGAAUAAGCACCGGCUAACUACGUGCCAGCAGCCGCGGUAAUACGUAGGGUGCGAGCGUUAAUCGGAAUUACUGGGCGUAAAGCGUGCGCAGGCGGUUAUGUAAGACAGAUGUGAAAUCCCCGGGCUCAACCUGGGAACUGCAUUUGUGACUGCAUGGCUAGAGUACGGUAGAGGGGGAUGGAAUUCCGCGUGUAGCAGUGAAAUGCGUAGAUAUGCGGAGGAACACCGAUGGCGAAGGCAAUCCCCUGGACCUGUACUGACGCUCAUGCACGAAAGCGUGGGGAGCAAACAGGAUUAGAUACCCUGGUAGUCCCAU